CAUGACCUGAAGCAGUGAUUGAGCACCUGGUGGGAAGGCUGGGCCAACCUAGGUGUGCUCAGCUGCAUGCAGUGUGCCUGAGUGACCGGAAGGGAUAGAAUCAGGAUCUACCCCUUCCCAAAUAUCAUUUAAGGGCUGGCAGAGGAAGUGAGGAUGUUUUGUUGAAGAUUCCUGUCUAACUGAGGUCUUCCAAGGGUUACAAUGAAGAACAGUUUCAGGAAAGAAACAAACACCAAAAACACUAGAAAUCCAACCAGCAAUAGAAAGCAGGAAUUUGCAGUAAGAGCAUUCACUGUGUUCCAUGAUGGGAUCCCAACCAAGCCAGAGCACUGAAGUAGAACUUGGCGUUUUCCUUAUUCUAAAGGCACCAAGAGACACCAGAGAGCUUUUUAUAUUUAAUGACAUUUUACUACAAAACAGUGUGCAUAAUGUAACUUUUUAGUUAAAGAAAAAUUGGUUUUGCUGUGUAGGUACAGGUUCUGAAUAUUAUUUCACUCCUCUACUUUGGCCCUGUAAUCAGAGAAGUAGCUUUCAAACUUGCUCUCAUUUGUAAAGUGUUAAGGGCUUCCUAGGUUUUAGGUUUGGCUCAGGGCUGCUCUCCUGCCACCUUAGGAAAUUUGUCUUUCACAAUGGUGCUCUCCUUGCCUGUCUGGGGUCAAAUAUCACCCACUGUUCCCCAGGAAAGAUGCAGUCUCCUUCCACCAACUAGUAGCUGUACCCGACCCAGUGUGCAGCAGCAAGAGCAUAGCAGAGGCAGCCCUUAUCCUUGCUUUUAGUCAAAUACAACUUGAAGUUGGAUGCAGGUCCAUCAGGUGAUUGAUUAUCUAGAUUAAAAGAGGCAAGCAAGACAUUUGAACUAGCUAGGCAUGCAGGUACUAGCCCACCUGCCAGUUAACUGAUGUGUGGUGAGCCUAAAAAAGCAAAAAUAGGGCAAGCUUAAAAUUUACACAACAUUUUGAAUUGGAGUUACUUCCAGUCCAUAUCCUUUGUCAGCCAAUGAUAUCACACUAUCUAGAGAAUUUCCUGCUGGGAAAUUUUUUAAUUUCAUGCAGAAAUUUGAGCAUGAGGUGGCACAAAGAACAGCUUUUCCUAACAAAAGUGCAUUGUUGAAAUCAUUUAAAAAUGAAAGUUCCCAUACAUGCAUCAUGGUAUGUUUGUUUCACAUACAACUAAUUCAGUCUUGAUGUUCAAGGAAUAACUUGCUCAUGGCUAAAGGAGUCUGUCAGACUACUUCUAUUGGCAGCUUUCAGAUGUCCCCAUCACUGGAAAAAACUUAGUAACUUAGUUUUUGAGAUCACCUUUUUUUGUGUAUGUUAGAACUUACAGUGGCAAACAAAAUUGAAGUAUUUGUGUAUGGAUAAUGGUUUUAAUGUUUCAGCCUUGAUAGUUAAUCUGAAAGAAAACCAGAUGACAUGCAUAAUACUCAUAAAAUGAUAUGCUUGUACACCAGUUCUUUCUAGAGUGAGUUUGUUCAGUUCUGAAAUAUACUUUAAGUUAGACUGAAACAAAAGACCUUUUUUGUGCUCCUUUGUCUCUCAUUCCUAAAAGCAGCAUUUUGAAAGAAACAAACGUGAAAUGGUCUUUCAAAUUGCAGUCAUGCCUCACUGAUUUUUGUGCUCAAAACUGCGUUCCCUUGUACUGCAUCUGGCCUUUACUGUGGAUGUCUGCUUUUGCUCCUGCAGACAGUAUCAGCCAGGCAGAAUAAUGUUCCAUUUUAUAAUCUGCAAAUGUUGGAACACAAUGCUAUAUAUUCCAUAAUUGAAAUUGUUGCCAUGUCCUGUGUAUCUUGCAACAUUUUUGUACAUGCAGUCAUUGUUAUCCAUUUUCUGUAAAAUAUUAUCCACAGAGGUUUAGAAAUUUUCAUUAUGUUUGCUGUAAAUGUCAGGUAAAUAAUAUUUUAUGUCUUCUUUUAAGUUUAAGUAUCUUGCAACUAACGGAAAACACUUUGUAGACCACUUGCUAAAUGAGUCUGUAGCAGACAAAUAGUACAGAUGAUUCAUUUUUAUAUGGAGUGAUGAUAUUAAGAGUUACAAGCUAAUGUAUCUUUAGCUAAUGCUUCUUCUUUUGUCUUUGGCACAUGAAACAUUAUUUCAUGCAUAUUUUUCAAUCUGUAAAGCACCUCAAUGUGUAUUUGGACUGAGUUAAUUUCUGCUGAGUAAGUGAAAUGCAGCCUUCUACGUACAAGUUUCUUGAAAGGCAAUGAAGAUAUAUUGUAAAUUAAAAAUUUGGAGAUGAAAAACACUUAGGUUUAUGAUUUUUCCCCCAUUCAUCAAUCCAAGAGCUUUACAGGUAGGCUAUUUUUUCAGAAGAGAAAAAUAGUACUAGAUAACUGAGAAUGGCCAUUAGAUGUACAAUCUCAGGAGAGAUACAGCAAUAUGUUUUUCUUUUCUGGAGUAGAUAGUCAGAGUCAAUCAGAUGUAAGACAAGUCUCGCUCACUUUUGCAAGCUAAAUUGCUAUACAAAUGACCUAUGAAAUGUCCCUGUGAAGAUUUUGCAUCAUAGCAGGGCUAAAGCAUUCAGGUUUUGAUUCUACUGUAAUUUCUCCUUUCCUGAGCUCUGAAACAAUUUAAACUUUCUCUUGCUAUGCUCUUUGUGAUACUGGCAUUUGUUAAAUGAACUACUGCUAUUUGAUGAAUGAUAAAAUCCUUCCUUAUUUUCAGUUUUUAUAAUUGCCAAUAGAGUAUUUCAAAUAUGUUAUGUACAAGUGGGGACAGUGCUGGGAAAGGCAAUUGCAUGUAUGAAUAUGGUUUCAAAAGCUAAGAAAAAAAAAGUAUAAUGUAACAUGAGACAACCAGCUUGAAAUCAAGGUUCACAAAUUCCAACAGGGGCAUUCGACUCCUAUGCAGAUCUCCCUUUUCUCUCUCUCUCUCUCUCACACACGCAAUUCAGAUAGGAGCAUAGAACUCUUAUAUAGGUCUUCCUCUUGUCUUGUAUCCUUUUCUAUUUAUUUGACAUCUGAUUAGUUUUGCAACAAAAAUUGUACUAUGUAGACUGAAUCUUGUUAAAAAUCCCAUCCUACUUAGGAACAGUAGAUAAAUAAAUUUCAU
This is a non-coding RNA of Meleagris gallopavo (turkey), 3047 nucleotides long. Lineage: Eukaryota; Metazoa; Chordata; Aves; Galliformes; Phasianidae. The record is from RefSeq and is a predicted model, not a curated record.